GGGAGCUGAGCUUGCUUUGAAAGUUCCCUAAGAAAAUAGGGAAAGACAGAGCCGUUCACAAAGCAAAUUAGGGGAGGGGGGAGUUACUAUUUUUAACCUAUAAUUCCUUUUGAAAUUGUCUAAAGAAGCAAUUGUCUAAAGAACUGUCUGAAAGAAUUUCAGUAAUGCACAGGAGAAAGGGCACAAGAUGUUGCCUUCUUUCCUGGGGCAUUGUGGGCCAGUUGUUGGGAAGAAAGGUGCUGUUUCGAAACACCAUUGCUUACUGCAGUUGGCAGGAUUGAAGAUUUCUUAUAGGAAGAAAGGGAGGCUGAUGAUCAUCUGUCAGCACUCCUGGAGGAUCCCUUGGACCUGGAGAAUAACCUCUGCCAUCAAAGACCCACGCCCAGAGGCUGCAAUUGGCAGAAGAUUGGCAUGGCCCUGCCAGCCACACGCAAGAUGAAUGCUAGUCUCCAGCUGCCCGAGUCGGAUCUUCGUGAGGACAGGUGAUAUAGCCUCUUGCUCGGCUUCUUCAGGACAGAAUCUGUCCUUCUCUAAAUUCUGAAACAUUACACACCCACCCACCCCUGAUCUUAAAGUUGUUCUCUGUAGCCUCCCUGGAAAUUAUUUACACAUAAUUUGGAAUUUUAAGCUAAAUGUACCUUUUAUGCUAGGACUACCUAGUAACCUAGUUUUAUUGCUUCUAUUUGUUUUUCUUACAGUAAACACCUCUUGUUAAUUAAAACCUCUCUCUCUAGCUGAUU
This is a long non-coding RNA of Hemicordylus capensis (graceful crag lizard), 740 nucleotides long. RefSeq lists it as uncharacterized. The record is from RefSeq and is a predicted model, not a curated record. The transcript is spliced from 3 exons. Lineage: Eukaryota; Metazoa; Chordata; Lepidosauria; Squamata; Cordylidae.